Molecule: ribosomal RNA, 661 nt
Filed under: uncultured Lachnospiraceae bacterium
Lineage: Bacteria; Bacillati; Bacillota; Clostridia; Lachnospirales; Lachnospiraceae
Description: bacterial SSU rRNA
Rfam family: Bacterial small subunit ribosomal RNA
Source: RNAcentral
GAUUCUUCGGAUGAAGAAGACUGUGACUGAGUGGCGGACGGGUGAGUAACGCGUGGGCAACCUGCCCUGUACAGGGGGAUAACAGUUAGAAAUGACUGCUAAUACCGCAUAAGCGCACGAGGACGCAUGUUCUUGUGUGAAAAACUCCGGUGGUACAGGAUGGGCCCGCGUCUGAUUAGGUAGUUGGUGGGGCAGCGGCCUACCAAGCCGACGAUCAGUAGCCGACCUGAGAGGGUGACCGGCCACAUUGGGACUGAGACACGGCCCAAACUCCUACGGGAGGCAGCAGUGGGGAAUAUUGCACAAUGGGGGAAACCCUGAUGCAGCGACGCCGCGUGAAGGAAGAAGUAUUUCGGUAUGUAAACUUCUAUCAGCAGGGAAGAAACUGACGGUACCUGACUAAGAAGCACCGGCUAAGUACGUGCCAGCAGCCGCGGUAAUACGUAUGGUGCAAGCGUUAUCCGGAUUUACUGGGUGUAAAGGGAGCGUAGACGGAGAGGCAAGUCUGAAGUGAAAGCCCGGGGCUCAACCCCGGGACUGCUUUGGAAACUGCAGUUCUAGAGUGCCGGAGAGGUAAGCGGAAUUCCUAGUGUAGCGGUGAAAUGCGUAGAUAUUAGGAGGAACACCAGUGGCGAAGGCGGCUUACUGGACGGUGACUGAC